GCUGCAGUUAAGCUCGUAGUUGAUUUUAUAAUUUUCCGUGUGCUACUGUAUUUAAAUUUUGGUGCUUAAGGCAUGCUUUUGUAGUGUUUAACAAAUUAUUGUAUUGCUACAAGGAAUUUUUUCCGUAAGAUAGAAGCAGAAAAAGAUAUAAAUAAUUUGAAAAUAAAGGUGAAAUUUUGUAUUUUUGAAAGAUUUACAAAGGCGAAAGCACAUGUCAAUAAUGUAUUUAUUUGUAAUGAACGAAGGUUAAGUUUUCAACGACUAUUAGACACUGUCUUAGUCUUAACAAUAAACGAUGCCGAUUCUGAUUUAACAGUUUUUUUUGCUGGCACAUAAAAGAAAUUUUAGUUUAUGGGCUCUGGGGGGAGUAUGGUCGCAAGGUAUAAACUUAAAGAAAUUGACGGAAGGGCACCACCAGGCGUGGAGCCUGCGGCUUAAUUUGACUCAACACGGGAAAUUUUACUAAAAUUUAACAUUUUUACGAUUGACAUUUGAUUGAAUUUUCUUGAUAACAUGGUGAGUAAUGCAUGGCCGUUUUUGGUUGGUGGAUCAAUUUGUCUGGUUAAUUCCGAUAACGAACGAGAUCAUAAAUAUUAUGUUAAAAUUGUUUUAUUUUAGUAUUACAUUAGCAGUAUGAAAGCUUAGUAGGAUUAUGGCAAUAACAGGUCAGUGAUGCCCUUUGAUUUAUUGGGCUGCACGCGAGUUACAAUGUAUAAAAAAGUUAGGCCUUUGAAAGAAAAACGGAAAAAUUUUGUACUUUACAGGGACAGAUAUUUGUAAUUAUAA
This 786-nucleotide ribosomal RNA is filed under the name uncultured eukaryote. RNAcentral describes it as "partial 18S ribosomal RNA". It matches the Rfam family "Eukaryotic small subunit ribosomal RNA", at positions 710 to 1595 of the family's 1831-position model. The record is from RNAcentral.